GACGAACGCUGGCGGCGUGCUUAACACAUGCAAGUCGAACGGAAAGGCCCUGCUGUUGUGGGGUGCUCGAGUGGCGAACGGGUGAGUAACACGUGAGUAACCUGCCCUUGACUUUGGGAUAACUUCAGGAAACUGGGGCUAAUACCGGAUAGGAGCUCCUGCUGCAUGGUGGGGGUUGGAAAGUUUCGGCGGUUGGGGAUGGACUCGCGGCUUAUCAGUUUGUUGGUGGGGUAGUGGCUUACCAAGGCUUUGACGGGUAGCCGGCCUGAGAGGGUGACCGGCCACAUUGGGACUGAGAUACGGCCCAGACUCCUACGGGAGGCAGCAGUGGGGAAUAUUGCACAAUGGGCGGAAGCCUGAUGCAGCAACGCCGCGUGCGGGAUGACGGCCUUCGGGUUGUAAACCGCUUUCGCCUGUGACGAAGCGUGAGUGACGGUAAUGGGUAAAGAAGCACCGGCUAACUACGUG
RNAcentral lists this ribosomal RNA (468 nucleotides) under uncultured bacterium. RNAcentral's name for it is "partial 16S ribosomal RNA". It matches the Rfam family "Bacterial small subunit ribosomal RNA", at positions 28 to 507 of the family's 1533-position model. The record is from RNAcentral.